This 112-nucleotide small RNA is filed under the name Marmota monax (woodchuck). Lineage: Eukaryota; Metazoa; Chordata; Mammalia; Rodentia; Sciuridae. The record is from RNAcentral.
GCUGGGUGUGGUGGCAUGUGCCUGCAGUCCCAGCUACUCAGGAGGCUGGGGCAGGAGGAUGCCUUCAGCCCAGGAGUCUAAGGCCAGCCUGGGCAACGCAGUGAGACCCCAU